GUUGAAGUGAGCACUCCAGCGGACGCCAGGCACACCUUUCAUUCCCGGAUCUCAUUCAUCAUUGCCUGGAAUCUCCCCAUUCCGAGUGUACUUGAGCGCUCUGUGAUGACAUCACGCACAACUUUAAUCAGGAAGGAGCUUGCUUCUGUUUUUUAGUGAAUUCUUCGUUCAGUGAGUUAUCGCUUCCAGGGAACAAGGGGUGCUUUCUCAGGGAUGGCUCAGCUCGGUGCUAUCAUCGCUGUCACAGUAGCAUUGUUCAUUGGUUCACUCUUCUCUGCUAUACAUAAACUUGAAGAGGGGCACACUGGAGUUUACUACAGGGGGGGUGCUUUAUUAACUUCUACCAGUGGACCAGGCUUUCAUCUCAUGCUGCCAUUUAUAACUUCGUAUAAAUCAGUGCAG
Long non-coding RNA from Protopterus annectens (West African lungfish), 402 nucleotides. RefSeq lists it as uncharacterized. NCBI's taxonomy places the organism in Eukaryota, Metazoa, Chordata, Ceratodontiformes, Protopteridae. The transcript is spliced from 3 exons. The record is from RefSeq and is a predicted model, not a curated record.